UCUUCAUUUCACAUGCUCUCUCAGCGGUCAGAGUGACUAGAGAGAGAGUGGGAAAUGAAGAGA
This 63-nucleotide microRNA precursor is filed under the name Pristionchus pacificus. RNAcentral's name for it is "mir-8364 microRNA precursor family". It matches the Rfam family "mir-8364 microRNA precursor family". Lineage: Eukaryota; Metazoa; Nematoda; Chromadorea; Rhabditida; Neodiplogasteridae. The record is from Rfam by way of RNAcentral.